This 83-nucleotide transfer RNA is filed under the name Pseudomonadota bacterium. RNAcentral's name for it is "tRNA-Ser". It matches the Rfam family "tRNA". Rfam says of the family: Transfer RNA (tRNA) molecules are approximately 80 nucleotides in length. Their secondary structure includes four short double-helical elements and three loops (D, anti-codon, and T loops). The record is from RNAcentral. RNAcentral also lists the same sequence under 1 other name. Lineage: Bacteria; Pseudomonadati; Pseudomonadota.
GGAGGCGUAGCCUAACUGGUAAGGCACCGCACUCGAAAUGCGGCGGGCGUAAGCCCUUGGGGGUUCGAGUCCCUCCGCCUCCG